RNAcentral lists this unclassified non-coding RNA (34 nucleotides) under Sorangium cellulosum So ce56. Its description in RNAcentral is "sce_s2m_33". Lineage: Bacteria; Pseudomonadati; Myxococcota; Polyangiales; Polyangiaceae. The record is from RNAcentral.
GGUGGCCGCCCCGGGCACGGAGUUCGAUUGAGGG